Long non-coding RNA from Aethalodelphis obliquidens (Pacific white-sided dolphin), 138 nucleotides. RefSeq lists it as uncharacterized. The transcript has 3 exons. NCBI's taxonomy places the organism in Eukaryota, Metazoa, Chordata, Mammalia, Artiodactyla, Delphinidae. The record is from RefSeq and is a predicted model, not a curated record.
AAUAUGUGAUUCCAGGGAAUUCCCUGGCUGUCCAGUGGUUAGGACUCUGCGCUUCCACUGCAGGCGACACAGGUCUGAUCCCGGGUCGGGGAACUAUCCCGCCAGCCACGUGGCACAGCCAAACAGAGAAACAAAAAA